Molecule: ribosomal RNA, 253 nt
Filed under: uncultured bacterium
Lineage: Bacteria
Description: partial 16S ribosomal RNA
Rfam family: Bacterial small subunit ribosomal RNA
Source: RNAcentral
CACGUAGGGCGCAAGCGUUGUCCGGAAUUAUUGGGCGUAAAGAGCUCGUAGGCGGUCUGCCACGUCCGCUGUGAAAACCUAGGGCUUAACCCUGGGCUUGCAGUAGAUACGGGCAGACUAGAGGUAGGUAGGGGAGAAUGGAAUUCCCGGUGUAGCGGUGAAAUGCGCAGAUAUCGGGAGGAACACCGGUGGCGAAGGCGGUUGCCUGGAGCUUUGCUGACGCUGAUGCGCGAAAGCGUGGGGAGCGAUCCGG